GACGAACGCUGGCGGCGUGCUUAACACAUGCCAGUCGAACGGAAAGGCCUUUUCGGAGGUACUCGAGUGGCGCACGGGUGCGUAACACGUGGGUGAUCUGCCCUGCACUCUGGGAUAAGCCUGGGAAACUGGGUCUAAUACCGGAUAGGACCGCACUUUAGUGUGUGUGGUGGAAAGUUUUUUCGGUGUAGGAUGAGCCCGCGGCCUAUCAGCUUGUUGGUGGGGUAAUGGCCUACCAAGGCGGCGACGGGUAGCCGGACUGAGAGGUUGGUCGGCCACAUUGGGACUGAGAUACGGCCCAGACGCCUACGGGAGGCAGCAGUGGGGAAUAUUGCACAAUGGGCGCAAGCCUGAUGCAGCGACGCCGCGUGGGGGAUGACGGCCUUCGGGUUGUAAACUCCUUUCGCCAGGGACGAAGCGUUUUGUGACGGUACCUGGAGAAGAAGCACCGGCUAACUACGUG
RNAcentral lists this ribosomal RNA (463 nucleotides) under uncultured bacterium. RNAcentral's name for it is "partial 16S ribosomal RNA". It matches the Rfam family "Bacterial small subunit ribosomal RNA", at positions 28 to 507 of the family's 1533-position model. The record is from RNAcentral.